ACCCUAGGCAUCUCUUUCUCUCUCCACAAAAAGAAAGUCUUGGAGUGGGCUUUUUUCUUUCUCUUCAUGUUUGCCCUUUUCCACAUGUAGAGAAGUAACUAUUCUGAUUCCUGUAAUAUGCCCUUGUUUAUAGUGCAGUGGUUCUGUAUUAGGGUGUGCAGUAGAAUCACCUGGAAGGCCUGUGAAAUGGAACGUCUAGGCCCCGCCCCUGGGGAUUUCUGAUUGGUGGGUCUGGGCCCAAUAAGCCUGUGUUUCCAAGUUCCCAGGUGGUGCCAAUGCUGCGCCGCCAAGUCUCAGGCUGGGAACCACCGCUUUAGGUCCACAGUCUCCUCCCUAGAAGCCUCAGGAAACAUGUCACAACAACCUCAUGGAAGAGGCAGUAGGGGGAUGCUGCUGCAGAUGGUGCGUGAGAGAGGAAGAAGUUCCUUCAUUCAGAGGCAUCCACUCAACUGGUAAGAGACUUCAGACUUGCACAUUGAUCAGUAUCAUUCAAGAUUCUGCUGCUGCUGCUGCUGCUAAGUCACUUCAGUUGUGUCCAACUCUGUGCGACCCCAUAGACGGCAGCCCACCAGGCUCCCCUGUCCCUGGGAUUCUCCAGGCAAGAACACAGGAGUGGGUUGCCAUUCCUUCUCCAAUGCAUGAAAGUGAAAAGUGAAAGUGAAGUCACUCAGUCAUGUCCGACUUUUAGUGACCCCAUGGACUGCAGCCCAUCAGGCUCCUCCAUCCAUGGAAUUUUCCAGGCAAGAGUACUGGAGUGGGUUCCCAUUGCCUUCUCCAUUUUAGAUUCUAUAUAUAAGUGAAAACAGAUUUUUAUCUUCCUCUGUCUGAUUUUUUUCACUAACUAUAGUAACCUCCAGGUCUAUAUGUGUUGCAAAUAACAAGAUUUCAUUCUUUUAUAUAGCUGCAUAAUUUUCCAGUGUGUGUACAUCUAUCUCAUAUCUUUUUUAUCCAUCUGUUUGUUGAUGAACACUUAGGUUGCUUCUGUUAUCUCGGCUAUUGUAAAUAUGCUGCAAUAAAAAUUAAAACUAACUUUUCAAAUUAGUGUUUUCAUUUUCUUUAGAUGUAUGCCCAGGAGUAGAAUUGCUGGAUCACAUGGUAGUUCUAUUUUUAGUUUUUCUGAGGAACCUGCCUACUGUUCUCCAUAGCAGCUGCACCAAUUUACCUAUUUACAUUCCUAUCGAAGUGUACUAGGAGCCCUGGUCUUCAUAUCUCUCUGAUACUUGUUACUUCUUGUCUUUAGGACUACCGUCAUCCUAACAACUGUGAGGUGGUAUCUCACACUGGUUUUGAUGUGCAUUUUCCUGAUGAUUAGUGGUGGGGAGCAUCUUUUCAUGUGCCGGCUGGCCAUCUACAUGUCUUUUUGGAAAAACGACUCUCUCUUCUUCAAUUCUGAAUGAUAACUUUGCUGGGUCAUAUCAUUGGUUGUAGUUUUUGUUUUUGUUUUUUUUUCCCUCCCCCCUCUUUAAGAACU
This is a long non-coding RNA of Bos taurus (domestic cattle), 1471 nucleotides long. The record is from Ensembl. Lineage: Eukaryota; Metazoa; Chordata; Mammalia; Artiodactyla; Bovidae.